This is a long non-coding RNA of Eriocheir sinensis (Chinese mitten crab), 971 nucleotides long. RefSeq lists it as uncharacterized. NCBI's taxonomy places the organism in Eukaryota, Metazoa, Arthropoda, Malacostraca, Decapoda, Varunidae. The record is from RefSeq and is a predicted model, not a curated record. The transcript has 4 exons.
GGUGGCCAAAAGGGAGGUCAAUUACGUAGAGGGUGGCCAAAAGGGAGGUCAAUUUCGUAGAGGGUGGCCAAAAGGGAGGUCAAUUUCGUAGAGUGGCCAAAAGGGAGGUCAAUUUCGUAGAGGGUGGCCAAAAGGGAGGUCAAUUUCGUAGAGGGUGGCCAAAAGGGAGGUCAAUUUCGUAGAGGGUGGCCAAAAGGGAGGUCAAUUUCGUAGAGGGUGGCCAAAAGGGAGGUCAAUUUCGUAGAGGGUGGCCAAAAGGGAGGUCAAUUUCGUAGAGGGUGGCCAAAAGGGAGGUCAAUUUCGUAGAGGGUGGCCAAAAGUGAGGUCAAUUUCGUAGAGGGUGGCCAAAAGGGAGGUCAAUUUCGUAGAGGGUGGCCAAAACAGAGGUCAAUUUCGUAGAGGGUGGCCAAAAGGGAGGUCAAUUUCGUAGAGGGUGGCCAAAAGGGAGGUCAAUUUCGUAGAGGGUGGCCAAAAGGGAGGUCAAUUUCGUAGAGGGUGGCCAAAAGGGAGGUCAAUUUCGGGUGUAGUUUGCUCUCUUUACAAUCCAUCUGGCUCACCUUUUUCAAUGGGUUCAGUUUUAAUUUAUGCCAUUUCACGUAUGCAUUUCCUGGGGGAAGUGUGGCGGUGACGGUUUCAUAUUUGCUUCUCACUAUCAAGUAUUUUUAAGGCUGAAGGUCACUUAUGAUAAGGUUUAAGGAAGGCGCCCUUAUCACCUACAAGUGCAAUUGCUGAGUGCUUUUCCGAGAACGUAACAAUCACAAGUGGGGGGCGGGAGAGGACGUCAAACAAACAUAUCAUGGGAGGGUGUGUGUGUGUGUGUGUGUGGGGGGGGCCUGUUUUUUACAUGGGAGGAUGUGUAUGUGUGUGUGUGUAUAGAGGAGGAGGAGGGUGCUGAUUUUUACAUGGGAGGAAGGGUGUGUGUGUGGAGGGGGAGGAAGGGGCUGUUUUUUACAUGGGAGGAAGGGUGUGUG